Molecule: ribosomal RNA, 253 nt
Filed under: uncultured bacterium
Lineage: Bacteria
Description: partial 16S ribosomal RNA
Rfam family: Bacterial small subunit ribosomal RNA
Source: RNAcentral
UACGUAGGGUGCAAGCGUUAAUCGGAAUUACUGGGCGUAAAGCGCACGUAGGCGGAUCGAUAAGUCAGGGGUGAAAUCCCAGGGCUCAACCCUGGAACUGCCUUUGAUACUGUCGAUCUGGAGUAUGGAAGAGGUGAGUGGAAUUCCGAGUGUAGAGGUGAAAUUCGUAGAUAUUCGGAGGAACACCAGUGGCGAAGGCGGCUCACUGGUCCAUUACUGACGCUGAGGUGCGAAAGCGUGGGGAGCAAACAGG